AUUGAACGCUGGCGGCAUGCUUUACACAUGCAAGUCGAACGGUAACAGGCCUUCGGGUGCUGACGAGUGGCGAACGGGUGAGUAAUGCAUCGGAACGUACCCAGAGGUGGGGGAUAACGCAGCGAAAGCUGUGCUAAUACCGCAUGUGAUCUGAGGAUGAAAGCGGGGGACCGAGCAGCAAUGUUUGGCCUCGCGCCUUUGGAGCGGCCGAUGUCGGAUUAGCUAGUUGGUGGGGUAAAGGCCUACCAAGGCGACGAUCCGUAGCUGGUCUGAGAGGACGACCAGCCACACUGGGACUGAGACACGGCCCAGACUCCUACGGGAGGCAGCAGGGGGGAAUUUUGGACAAUGGGCGCAAGCCUGAUCCAGCAAUGCCGCGUGCGGGAAGAAGGCCUUCGGGUUUUAAACCGCUUUUGGCAGGAACGAAACGGUGUCCGCUAAUACCGGGCGCUAAUGACGGUACCUGCAGAAUAAGCACCGGCUAACUACGUG
This 492-nucleotide ribosomal RNA is filed under the name uncultured bacterium. RNAcentral's name for it is "partial 16S ribosomal RNA". It matches the Rfam family "Bacterial small subunit ribosomal RNA", at positions 29 to 507 of the family's 1533-position model. The record is from RNAcentral.